GGGUAUAUAUAACAUGAUCGAAGCUGUGUAACACAAAAUUAAGGUUAAGGGUUAGGUGCCGCGAAUUUGGCAUUUAUCAUGUUGAUAAAUUCGGACGCGUUUAACAAUUUACUCGUAUAGUAAAAUUCAAAUGUGGAACUCAUGCUGUAAAUUACACUAUACGUAUAAUCUUGAUCAAAAAAUUUUCACGACAUAUGGCGCCGGAAAAUUGGCGCCGGAAAUUUGGUGCCGGAAAAAAUUUUGCGGACAUAAAAUCGUUUAUUUUUUUCCGACAAUUUUCUUAAUUUUUUGAGAGUUUUAGAUGUAUUAUUCAUCUGGGUACUGGGAUUUAUAUUCUGAGUUCAUCAAUCUUGCAUCAAUAAAUUUUAAGGGUCCCUUGUUUUGCGAGCCCCGCCCGAGAUAAAGUUCCACUCUGCCUCUCUCUCGGCGAUCCUGCAUGCAGUAGAUGGAAAUUUAUAACGAAAGAUUCAAUAUAUACAAUUUUAGACUUAACUACAGACUUAACUACAGGAGCAGCUGCGAAAAUGCUGUCAACUGACAGGAAUCGAACCUGUGGCUAAAUAUAGAGAUUUUUGGGAAUAUGACGCUGUAAAUCUCAAUUUGCGCUUGGGAUUUUUCUUGAAAUUUGUGCUUGAAAUUUCCAUCCUACAUAAAUCUUUCAAUCUGUUCAUAUUUUAUAUAAUGGCAUCACUUGUAC
Molecule: non-coding RNA, 697 nt
Organism: Paramuricea clavata
Lineage: Eukaryota; Metazoa; Cnidaria; Anthozoa; Malacalcyonacea; Plexauridae
Source: the annotation of a GenBank genome assembly